Molecule: transfer RNA, 79 nt
Filed under: Pseudomonas fluorescens
Lineage: Bacteria; Pseudomonadati; Pseudomonadota; Gammaproteobacteria; Pseudomonadales; Pseudomonadaceae
Description: tRNA-Trp
Source: RNAcentral
GUGCUGUGGUACGGCGUCCAGAUCUGCUCCAGAUAGGUCGCGCGCUCGGCUUUCGAAGGUUCCAGCCCUUCGCGGAACA